CUACGGGGCGCAGCAGUGAGGAAUAUUGCACAAUGGGGGGAACCCUGAUGCAGCAACGCCGCGUAGAGGAUGACGCAUUUCGGUGUGUAAACUCCUUUUAUAUGUCAAGAAAAUGACGGUAGCAUAUGAAUAAGCACCGGCUAACUCCGUGCCAGCAGCCGCGGUAAUACGGAGGGUGCAAGCGUUACUCGGAAUCACUGGGCGUAAAGGACGCGUAGGCGGGUUGGAAAGUCAGGUGUGAAAUCCUACAGCUUAACUGUAGAACUGCACUUGAAACUUCUAAUCUAGAGUAUGGGAGGGGGAGAUGGAAUUAGUGGUGUAGGGGUAAAAUCCGUAGAUAUCACUAGGAAUACCUAAAGCGAAGGCGAUCUCCUGGAACAUUACUGACGCUAAGGCGUGAAAGCGUGGGGAGCAAACAGGAUUAGAUACCCUCGUAGUC
This 439-nucleotide ribosomal RNA is filed under the name uncultured bacterium. RNAcentral's name for it is "partial 16S ribosomal RNA". It matches the Rfam family "Bacterial small subunit ribosomal RNA", at positions 339 to 795 of the family's 1533-position model. The record is from RNAcentral.